GAUGAAGAACGCAGCGAAAUGCGAUACGUAAUGUGAAUUGCAGAAUUCCGUGAAUCAUCGAGUCUUUGAACGCACAUUGCGCCCCCUGGUAUUCCGGGGGGCAUGCCAGUCCGAGCGUCAUUGCUGCCCUCAAGCACGGCUUGUGUGUUGGGCCUCCGUCCUCCUCCCGGGGGACGGGCCCGAAAGGCAGCGGCGGCACCGCGUCCGGUCCUCGAGCGUAUGGGGCUUCGUCACCCGCUCUUGUAGGCCCGGCCGGCGCUUGCCGACACAUCAAUCUUUUUUCCAGGUUGACCUCGGAUCAGGUAGGGAUACCCGCUGAACUUAAGCAUAUCAAUAAGCGGAGGA
Molecule: unclassified non-coding RNA, 345 nt
Filed under: soil metagenome
Description: partial contains 5.8S ribosomal RNA, internal transcribed spacer 2, and large subunit ribosomal RNA
Rfam family: 5.8S ribosomal RNA (bases 1-120)
Source: RNAcentral